Molecule: ribosomal RNA, 407 nt
Filed under: uncultured bacterium
Lineage: Bacteria
Description: bacterial SSU rRNA
Rfam family: Bacterial small subunit ribosomal RNA
Source: RNAcentral
UGAGUAACGCGUGGGCAACCUGCCUCAGUACUGGGGGGAUAGCAGUUGGAAACGACUGAUAAUACCGCAUAAGCGCACAGUAUCGCAUGAUACAGUGUGAAAAACUCCGGUGGUAUGAGAUGGGCCCGCGUCAGAUUAGCCAGUUGGCAGGGUAACGGCCUCCAAAGCGACGAUCUGUAGCCGGCCUGAGAGGGCGACGGCCACAUUGGGACUGAGACACGGCCCAAACUCCUACGGGAGGCAGCAGUGGGGGAUAUGCACAAUGGGGGAAACCCUGAUGCAGCGACGCCGCCGUGAGUGAAGAAGUAUUUCGGUAUGUAAAGCUCUAUCAGCAGGGAAGAAAGGCCCUUCGGGGAGAUGACGGUACCUGACUAAGAAGCCCCGGCUAACUACGUGCCAGCCGCUGC